Molecule: ribosomal RNA, 689 nt
Filed under: uncultured bacterium
Lineage: Bacteria
Description: bacterial SSU rRNA
Rfam family: Bacterial small subunit ribosomal RNA
Source: RNAcentral
AGAGUUUGAUCCUGGCUCAGAUUGAACGCUGGCGGCAUGCCUUACACAUGCAAGUCGAACGGCAGCACGGGGGCAACCCUGGUGGCGAGUGGCGAACGGGUGAGUAAUACAUCGGAACGUGUCCUUUCGUGGGGGAUAACCAGUCGAAAGACUGGCUAAUACCGCAUGAGAUCGUAAGAUGAAAGCGAGGGACCGCAAGGCCUCGCGCGAUUGGAGCGGCCGAUGUCGGAUUAGCUAGUUGGCGGGGUAAAAGCCCACCAAGGCGACGAUCCGUAGCUGGUUUGAGAGAACGACCAGCCACACUGGGACUGAGACACGGCCCAGACUCCUACGGGAGGCAGCAGUGGGGAAUUUUGGACAAUGGGCGCAAGCCUGAUCCAGCCAUGCCGCGUGUGUGAAGAAGGCCUUCGGGUUGUAAAGCACUUUCGGCCGGAACGAAAUCGCCUCCGUUAAUAGCGGGGGUGGAUGACGGUACCGGAAGAAGAAGCACCGGCUAACUACGUGCCAGCAGCCGCGGUAAUACGUAGGGUGCGAGCGUUAAUCGGAAUUACUGGGCGUAAAGGGUGCGCAGGCGGCCCCGCAAGUCAGGCGUGAAAUCCCCGGGCUUAACCUGGGAAUGGCGCUUGAAACUACGGGGCUGGAGUAUGGCAGAGGGAGGUGGAAUUCCACGUGUAGCGGUGAAAUGCGUA